Non-coding RNA from Oryza barthii, 132 nucleotides. Lineage: Eukaryota; Viridiplantae; Streptophyta; Magnoliopsida; Poales; Poaceae. The record is from Rfam.
UUUAAGCACAGCCAUAAGUUUCCGCGUCCAACUUUAAUCGUCCGUCUUAUUUAAAAUUUUUUAUAAUUAGAAUUUUUUUUAAAUAAGACGGACGAUCAAAGUUGGAUACGGAAACUCAUUGCUACGUUUAAA